This 77-nucleotide transfer RNA is filed under the name Acidocella sp. Its description in RNAcentral is "tRNA-Pro". It matches the Rfam family "tRNA". Rfam says of the family: Transfer RNA (tRNA) molecules are approximately 80 nucleotides in length. RNAcentral also lists the same sequence under 1 other name. Lineage: Bacteria; Pseudomonadati; Pseudomonadota; Alphaproteobacteria; Acetobacterales; Acidocellaceae. The record is from RNAcentral.
CGGGGCGUGGCGCAGCCUGGUAGCGCGCUUGUUUUGGGUACAAGAGGCCCCCAGUUCGAAUCUGGGCGCCCCGACCA